AAACGCCCGGGGAUUACAAGCGCAAGCUUAAAACCCAAAGGAUUUGACGGUGUCCCACCCACCUAGAGGAGCCUGUUCUAUAAUCGAUAAUCCACGAUACACCUCACCAUUUUUUGCUCUUCCCAGCCUGUAUACCUCCGUCGACAGCUUACCGUUUGAAUGCCACAAAGUAGGUAUAAUGAACCACACCUCCAGCACGUCAGGUCAAGGUGCAGCCUAUAAAAUGGAAAGCAAUGGGCUACAAUUUCUAAAAUAGAACAAACGAAAAACUACAUGAAACAUAGUCAUGAAGGCGGAUUUAGUAGUAAAAGAGAGACAAUAUACUUCUUUUAAUAAGGCUCUGGGACGUGUACAAACCGCCCGUCACCCUCUUCAAUAAUACUUUUAGCUUAAUAACAUUUAAUUAAUAAUACAGAAGAGGCAAGUCGUAACAUGGUAAGUGUACUGGAAAGUGCACUUGGUUAAACAAAGUGUAGCUUAACUAAAGCCUUUCGCUUACACCGAAAAAAUAUCUGUUGAACCCAGAUCACUUUGAAGCCCUAAACCUAGCCUAUGUUCCCCCCCCAUGAUAGUUAUUAUCAAUUUGAUAUAAAACAAAACAUUUUAACGGUUUAGUAAAGGAGAU
This 625-nucleotide ribosomal RNA is filed under the name Gephyromantis ambohitra. RNAcentral describes it as "partial 12S ribosomal RNA". The stretch from base 1 to 473 matches the Rfam family "Bacterial small subunit ribosomal RNA", at positions 867 to 1533 of the family's 1533-position model. Lineage: Eukaryota; Metazoa; Chordata; Amphibia; Anura; Mantellidae. The record is from RNAcentral.